This 814-nucleotide ribosomal RNA is filed under the name Gaeumannomyces hyphopodioides. RNAcentral describes it as "eukaryotic LSU rRNA". It matches the Rfam family "Eukaryotic large subunit ribosomal RNA", at positions 40 to 884 of the family's 3401-position model. The record is from RNAcentral. Lineage: Eukaryota; Fungi; Ascomycota; Sordariomycetes; Magnaporthales; Magnaporthaceae.
AUAUCAAUAAGCGGAGGAAAAGAAACCAACAGGGAUUGCCCUAGUAACGGCGAGUGAAGCGGCAACAGCUCAAAUUUGAAAUCUGGCCCCAGGCCCGAGUUGUAAUUUGCAGAGGAUGCUUUUGGCAAAGCGCAUACCGAGUCCCCUGGAACGGGGCGCCACAGAGGGUGAGAGCCCCGUAUGGUACGACGCCGAGCCUCUGUAAAGCUCCUUCGACGAGUCGAGUAGUUUGGGAAUGCUGCUCUAAAUGGGAGGUAAAUUUCUUCUAAAGCUAAAUACCGGCCAGAGACCGAUAGCGCACAAGUAGAGUGAUCGAAAGAUGAAAAGCACUUUGAAAAGAGGGUUAAAUAGCACGUGAAAUUGUUGAAAGGGAAGCGCUCGUGACCAGACUUGCGCCGGGCGGAUCAUCCAGCGUUCUCGCUGGUGCACUCCGCCCGGCUCAGGCCAGCAUCGGUUUUCGCCGGGGGACAAAAGCUUCGGGAACGUGGCUCCCUUCGGGGAGUGUUAUAGCCCGUCGUUUAAUACCCCGGCGGGGACCGAGGACCGCGCUUCGGCAAGGAUGCUGGCGUAAUGGUCAUCAGCGACCCGUCUUGAAACACGGACCGAGGAGUCAAGCAUUAGUGCGAGUGUUUGGGUGUAAAACCCGCACGCGUAAUGAAAGUGAACGUAGGUGAGAGCUUCGGCGCAUCAUCGACCGAUCCUGAUGUUUUCGGAUGGAUUUGAGUAGGAGCAUUAACGCUUGGACCCGAAAGAUGGUGAACUAUACUUGAAUAGGGUGAAGCCAGAGGAAACUCUGGUGGAGGCUCGCAGCGGU